RNAcentral lists this long non-coding RNA (391 nucleotides) under Rosa chinensis. Its description in RNAcentral is "sRNA RchiOBHm_Chr1g0339891". Lineage: Eukaryota; Viridiplantae; Streptophyta; Magnoliopsida; Rosales; Rosaceae. The record is from RNAcentral.
CUCCAACUUCAGGAGGCCAUUAGUAACAAUGGCAACAAAACAUGCGCAUUCUUAGCCAACACAGGCUAUUGGGUUAAUGGCUAAUGCUGAGCUUCAAUUCGAAAUGGCAAUGAGGGAUAAAGUCAUUAACAACCAACGGAAAGCGCUGAGAAACAUAUGAGACUUGCUGAUGAUUAGUUACUUAAAAUAGCUGUACAAUCAUGCACCUCUGCAAAGUUUAGAAAAACCAGAGUAAUGUAGGUGAAAGUGCGGGAAUUUUUUGUUAGAUUAAGGAAACAUAUAUACUUGAGCUACAAAGGAGGUAACUUUCUCAGUUUAUCUGUAAGGUAUAUGAUCGAUUAAUUAGGCACUGAUCUCUUUUUGAUUCAAGUCAACUUGAAAGUGAAUGAAU